RNAcentral lists this ribosomal RNA (253 nucleotides) under uncultured bacterium. RNAcentral describes it as "partial 16S ribosomal RNA". It matches the Rfam family "Bacterial small subunit ribosomal RNA", at positions 524 to 776 of the family's 1533-position model. The record is from RNAcentral.
UACGGGGGGGGCAAGCGUUGUUCGGAAUUACUGGGCGUAAAGGGCUCGUAGGCGGCCAACUAAGUCGGACGUGAAAUCCCCAGGCUCAACCUGGGAACUGCGUCCGAUACUGGAUGGCUUGAAUUCGGGAGAGGGAUGCAGAAUUCCAGGCGUAGCGGUGAAAUGCGUAGAUAUCUGGAGGAAUACCGGUGGCGAAGGCGGCAUCCUGGACCGACAUUGACGCUGAGGAGCGAAAGCUAGGGGAGCAAACGGG